RNAcentral lists this ribosomal RNA (775 nucleotides) under uncultured Neocallimastigales. RNAcentral's name for it is "partial large subunit ribosomal RNA". It matches the Rfam family "Eukaryotic large subunit ribosomal RNA", at positions 24 to 639 of the family's 3401-position model. Lineage: Eukaryota; Fungi; Neocallimastigomycota; Neocallimastigomycetes; Neocallimastigales. The record is from RNAcentral.
UUAUGUGAUCGUCUCUCGCAUAUCAAUAAGCGGAGGAAAAGAAACUAACAAGGAUUCCCCUAGUAACGGCGAGUGAAGCGGGAAGAGCUCAAAUUUGAAAUCUUAAAGGGUUUCCCUUUACGAAUUGUAGUUUAAAGAAGUGUUUUCUGUUGAGGUUUUGGUAAAAGUUCUUUGGAAUAGGACAUCAUAGAGGGUGAGAAUCCCGUAUUUGACCUUUACUUUCAACUUUGUGAUACACUUUCAAAGAGUCGGAUUGUUUGGGAAUGCAGUCCAAAAUGGGUGGUAAAUUUCAUCUAAAGCUAAAUAUUGGCGAGAGACCGAUAGCGAACAAGUACCGUGAGGGAAAGAUGAAAAGAACUUUGAAAAGAGAGUUAAACAGUACGUGAAAUUGUCAAAAGGGAAGCGUUUGACACCAGUGUUGUUUUUCUGAAAAUCAAUUAAAGAACUGUUUAUGCUAAGUUGUUUAGACUUUAUCAGCUAACUGUUUAGUUUUGAGCUUUUCUUUAAUGCACUUUUCAGUUAACAAGUCAACAUCAAUUUCUUUUGCUGUAAAAAAGCUUGAGGAAGGUGGCUUGAGAUUCGUCUUAAGUGUUUAUAGCCUCUUGCCUAUGCAGUCGGAGAGAUUGAGGUCUGCAGCGUAGAUCCUUCGGGGCUAAAUGCAUUUGUGCUAAGUUAUAGCAUUUUAUAGACAACUUGUUGACUAUGAUUUGUCUUGUAGCUUACUCGCUUAUGUUAUUUUACCUACGCUUAGGAUGUUGACGCGCGUGUGUGCGUG